This 120-nucleotide ribosomal RNA is filed under the name Pteropus alecto (black flying fox). The record is from RNAcentral. Lineage: Eukaryota; Metazoa; Chordata; Mammalia; Chiroptera; Pteropodidae.
GUCUAUAGCCAUGCCACCCUAAAUGUACCCGAUCUCGUCAGAUCUUGGAAGCUAAGCAGGGUCGGGCCUGGUUAGUACUUGGAUGGGAGACCACCUUAGGAAGACCAGGUGCUGUAGGCG